AUUCAUUUUACCCAUUUCCUUCCUGAGAAUCAUUUGAAAAUAUUCCUGUUACCAUGGCAUAGUUGAAUUAUUCUGAGAACGAGGUACCAGACAACAGCGACUAUGUUUUAAGGACGUGGGCAUCGCUAGCUGGACCAGCAUUUGAUGCCCAUCCCUAAUUGUCCUGAAAGAGGCGGUGAGCGGCCUACUUGAACGCUGCAGUCCUUGGGAGAAAGGGGCACCCCCAGCGUUUUUUGGGAGGAACCACCUGAAUGAUAAGUGUGAGAACUGUCGUAAAUCGACUGGGAGGAAGCUAAAUAUAAUCAGAUCCCAUUUUGCAGAAGGAAGAAGAGAGAUGAUUCAAUAAUUACAUAAAUAUCAUGUUUAGAGGAUCAAGCUAACGAGAACCAACUUUAAAAAAGAAGACUUCCAUUUGUCCAGCAUAACAGGGUAGAUGCAGGAAGAAUACUCCUCAGGACAGGGGCCACGGCCUACGGAUAUGGGGUAUUGCAUUUGGGACUGGGAUGAGGAAGACUUUCUUCUCCCAAAAAGUGCUGAGCCUAUGGAGUUGCUACCACAGAAAGGAGUUGAGGCCAAACACUACGAUUUCAAGGAGUUGGAUAUAGCAUUUGAGGCCAAAAGGAUCAAAGGGGAUCAGGCUAUUGAGUUGGAUGAUCAGCCAUGAUCACAUCGAAUGGCAUAGCAGGCUUGAAGGGCUGAAUGGCCUACUUUUAUUUUUUAUUUCAUGAUCUCAUUAUGUUUCAAUUGCAACGAUGAGGUACCAUUGAAGCAUGAUCACUGUUGGAACAUAAAACAUGCAGCAACUAAUUUUUGCACAGAAUGAUUCCUCAAAGAGUGACAAAACAAAUGAAAAAGAUUUUUUUUAAAAAUUUGUUGUUGGGAUGAGGGCAUCACGAGCUAGGGUUGCAUAUAUUGCCCAUCCCUAAAUACCCAGAGGUUAGUUAAAAGUUAACUGCAUUGCUGUGGGUCUGGAGUCACAUGUAGGCCAGUCCAGAUAAGAAUGGCUGAUUCCUUCCCUAAAGGACAUUAGUGAACCAGAUAGGUUUUUCGUGACAACCGAUGAUGGGUUCAUGGUCUUCAUUAGACUUUUCAUUCCAGAUUUUCUUUCAGUGAAGUUGAAUUUUGUCAUCUGGCAUGGUGGCAUUUGAACCCAGGUCCCCAGAACAUCACCCAGGUCUCUAGAUAAACAGUCCAAUGAUCACUAAGCCAUGGCCUCCUCAUGUUGGUUGAGGGAUGACCUGAUCUCAGCUGAGACAGUGCAGCAAUCCCCAAGUAGUGCAUCAGAGGGAUACAGGCCAAGCGCAAGCAAGUGAGACCGGUUUAGUUUGGGAUUAUGGCAGGCAUGGGUUGGAUGGGCCGAAGAGUCUGUUUCUGUGCUGUGUGACUUGAGGAGUGUCAGUCUCAUUUAUAUGCUCAAGAUACUGGAACCAAGAUUUUGACCUGCAUCUGAAAUAGCCGAUCACCACACUUUUCAACAUGUGAACAUUUAUUGAAAUAGCCAGGGUUAACUUUCUGACUCCCUGUGGGCAGGGCUUGUUGGCAAGUCUGCACAGCUGGAAAGUUGACACUCAGAACCCAACUCAUGAUACUGUAGAAAAUCAACACAUUGUUCAGUCAAGAUUAUUCCAAGCAGCAACUUUACCUUAAAAAGAAUAUCUGUGCACAUGGCCUUUCCAUGUGUUAUUAUUGGUUCCUGGUCCUCUCCUUUUCCAUCCCAACAAUCUAACUCUACACAUCUGGUUAAACAAAGGAAAGAAGCUAUAAUGACAUGAAGUUCACUGAACAGCUCUUAAGAAACAACAUAUGUAAUGUUCAUUCAUAAUAAAUGUAUUUCUGUUCUGAAUAAAUGCUACCAGAGACACUGCAGAACCGUCACUGCAAUUUGUGUCUCAGUUCACCAUCAACAUAUUAAUCGGUUAGAAUUACAUCUUGAUAGUAUUUAUUAAAUGUGGGCGAAGAGAACCCCCUGCUAAUUAUUAAUGUACAACCUGCACCUGAAUGCACAAAAUAGUCUUGAUAAUAAAACUAAAAAUUAAUGAGUAAAGGUCAAUUUCUGGUUCCCUUAAACCUGACACAGCAAUCAUUAUCCACUGAACAAUGUUUUGGCAUCUGUUUUACCCCAUUCUUCAAUUUGCAUUUUUUCGGCUUAAAAUAGACUAACAAACACGUCGCAAUGGAGCAGAAAUGAAUUUGAUAGGAAUAUGCUAACUUCACGAAUUGCAGAGGGCAAUUUCAGCUGUGCGUGAUCCCAACUGAGUUAUCGCAAAAAUUUGUGACCAAAGACUGCAAUUGAAAAGAGGUUUUAUUAAGUAAAAUUAUUAACAAAAAGCAGUGUAAACUGAAGACAGAUUGCCAUUUGCUA
Molecule: long non-coding RNA, 2362 nt
Organism: Stegostoma tigrinum
Lineage: Eukaryota; Metazoa; Chordata; Chondrichthyes; Orectolobiformes; Stegostomatidae
Exons: 5
Source: RefSeq, a predicted model, not a curated record